This 497-nucleotide ribosomal RNA is filed under the name uncultured bacterium. RNAcentral describes it as "partial 16S ribosomal RNA". It matches the Rfam family "Bacterial small subunit ribosomal RNA", at positions 28 to 507 of the family's 1533-position model. The record is from RNAcentral.
GAUGAACGCUGGCGGCGUGCCUAAUACAUGCAAGUCGAGCGAACAGAUGAGGAGCUUGCUCCUCUGACGUUAGCGGCGGACGGGUGAGUAACACGUGGAUAACCUACCUAUAAGACUGGGAUAACUUCGGGAAACCGGAGCUAAUACCGGAUAAUAUAUUGAACCGCAUGGUUCAAUAGUGAAAGACGGUUUUGCUGUCACUUAUAGAUGGAUCCGCGCCGCAUUAGCUAGUUGGUAAGGUAACGGCUUACCAAGGCAACGAUGCGUAGCCGACCUGAGAGGCGGAUCGGCCGCCUUGGAGCGGGGACAGGGUCCAGACUCCUGCGGGAGGCACCAGUAGGGAAUCUUCGGCAGAGGGCGAAAGCCUGGCGGAACAGCGCCGCGUGAGAGAUAAAGGCGUUGGGUGCGGAAAAAUCUGUUAUGAGGGAAAAACAAAUGUGUAAGGAACUGUGCACGUCUUGACGGUACCUAAUAAGAAAGCACCGGCUAACUACGUG